This 468-nucleotide ribosomal RNA is filed under the name uncultured bacterium. Its description in RNAcentral is "partial 16S ribosomal RNA". It matches the Rfam family "Bacterial small subunit ribosomal RNA", at positions 28 to 507 of the family's 1533-position model. The record is from RNAcentral.
GACGAACGCUGGCGGCGUGCUUAACACAUGCAAGUCGAACGGAAAGGCCCUGCUUUUGUGGGGUGCUCGAGUGGCGAACGGGUGAGUAACACGUGAGUAACCUGCCCUUGACUUUGGGAUAACUUCAGGAAACUGGGGCUAAUACCGGAUAGGAGCUCCUGCUGCAUGGUGGGGGUUGGAAGUUUUGGGCGGUGGGGGAUGGACUCGCGGCUUAUCAGCUUGUUGGUGGGGUAGUGGCUUACCAAGGCUUUGACGGGUAGCCGGCCUGAGAGGGUGACCGGCCACAUUGGGACUGAGAUACGGCCCAGACUCCUACGGGAGGCAGCAGUGGGGAAUAUUGCACAAUGGGCGGAAGCCUGAUGCAGCAACGCCGCGUGCGGGAUGACGGCCUUCGGGUUGUAAACCGCUUUCGCCUGUGACGAAGCGUGAGUGACGGUAAUGGGUAAAGAAGCACCGGCUAACUACGUG